GAUGAACGCUGGCGGCGUGCCUAACACAUGCAAGUCGAGCGUGAAGGUUAUGACGGAUUCUUCGGAUGACGGAUUAACUGGAAAGCGGCGGACGGGUGAGUAACGCGUGGGUAACCUGCCCUACACACUGGGAUAGCCAUUGGAAACGAUGAUUAAUACCGGAUAACACUUCUGAAACACAUGUUUCUAAAGUCAAAGAUUUAUCGGUGUAGGAUGGACCCGCGUCUGAUUAGUUUGUUGGUGAGGUAACGGCUCACCAAGACUACGAUCAGUAGCCGACCUGAGAGGGUGAUCGGCCACACUGGAACUGAGACACGGUCCAG
RNAcentral lists this ribosomal RNA (323 nucleotides) under uncultured bacterium. RNAcentral describes it as "bacterial SSU rRNA". It matches the Rfam family "Bacterial small subunit ribosomal RNA", at positions 28 to 334 of the family's 1533-position model. The record is from RNAcentral.